Stomoxys calcitrans (stable fly) is the source of this 1132-nucleotide long non-coding RNA. RefSeq lists it as uncharacterized. Lineage: Eukaryota; Metazoa; Arthropoda; Insecta; Diptera; Muscidae. The record is from RefSeq and is a predicted model, not a curated record. The transcript has 2 exons.
UUAAAAUUUAGUACGCCAGUAAACAAUUGGGAAUCAAUCUAACCACGCAAUAAUUGCAACAGCCAAUGCGGUUCUAAGCAUCAAGCGUCUCCUUUCGGACGUUGGUAAAUCAAUAAGUUUCAAGCGGUUCUCGUGGGACGGAGGAACUUCAGCCGAAUUCCAUGAAUGGAUUCCAAAUCACACAACCAUACUCCAAUGUACGGCCAGACUAAGCUGGUAAACAAAAGUUUGGUCACAUAAGGAUCAUUAAACUCCUUGGACUACAGUUUUAUAAAACCCAACAAAUACUUCGUCUAAUUGAUAACCGAGUCAAAUUAAAACGUAAUCUUCCAUCCAAAAUUACACAAAGAUCAGUAAAGAAAUCUACUUUAUUCAAUUAAUAAGAAUCUAUAUAAUGGUCAUAUAGAACAGGUCUAGCCCUGAAAAGCGAUAACAUCUCGCAUUUCUAAAGAUUAAGCGCCAUGACUUUAACACUCCAACUGUCCACCAGAGAGUGCCGAUUGGCCUGCUAGCACAGUGACUACUCCGAAGAAUCCAAAUUACAAUAUAGUAGCACAUCAUCUGCGAACAUUAAAAUCCUUGAAGACUGAAUAACUGAUGCAAGAUCAUUCAAGUAAAGAACGAACAGCAAUGGACCUCAAUGGCUGCCCUGUGGAACACCAGAAUAAGCAGCUAUAUCCUUGGAAAGAAUAUAAUUAAGUAAACUUUCUGCGUACGGCCUUGUAAAUAAAAAGUUUGCCAAUUCAAAUUAACUGAAGGGAAAUCCAUCAUGUCAAGUUUAAACAGUAAUAAAUCGUGCGCCACAUCUGUUUAAAAAACAAUCUUAUACAUGGCACGUCACUUCCAAUAGUUUGGUCAAAGUCCUCCUACCCCUAAUAAAGCAUUGCCCUUAAUUCUUCAUUAUAAAUCUGCUACUAUUUCUAUAAAAAGGAAUUAUAUAACUUGACCUCCAGUAAUGAGGAAUAAUCCUGAAAAUGGCGAAUCGUUGAAUAUGGCCGAAGGGUUGGUAUUCUAUUCUUCUUUCAGACAGCAAUCAAAUGUUUUUGUUUCCAUACCAAAACACGUUUCUUUAUCGGCAGUUAUUGUUUUCAUUAUUUAAUAUCAUUUUUUGCAAAUAAAUAUUUAAAAAUUA